CGGCGGACGGGUGAGUAACGCGUGGGUAACCUGCCUCACACAGGGGGAUAACAGUUAGAAAUGGCUGCUAAUACCGCAUAAGACCACAGUACUGCAUGGUACAGUGGUAAAAACUCCGGUGGUAUGAGAUGGACCCGCGUCUGAUUAGGUAGUUGGUGAGGUAACGGCCCACCAAGCCGACGAUCAGUAGCCGACCUGAGAGGGUGACCGGCCACAUUGGGACUGAGACACGGCCCAGACUCCUACGGGAGGCAGCAUG
This 259-nucleotide ribosomal RNA is filed under the name uncultured bacterium. RNAcentral describes it as "partial 16S ribosomal RNA". It matches the Rfam family "Bacterial small subunit ribosomal RNA", at positions 96 to 353 of the family's 1533-position model. The record is from RNAcentral.